Molecule: long non-coding RNA, 7496 nt
Organism: Taeniopygia guttata (zebra finch)
Lineage: Eukaryota; Metazoa; Chordata; Aves; Passeriformes; Estrildidae
Source: Ensembl
GGCUCCAGAAAUAAGCACACACUAUACAUCCUGUUCCUCCACCCCUCAAGACAUAUUGUAAUGAAUACAGAAAACACAUGCUCCAGGAUAAUUUGUUAUCUCAUGCAGAGCCAUUAGCAUCAGCUUCCUUCCCUGGAUGGAGUCAAGUCAAGCUCAGAGACAAGUUUUCCAGGUUGCACAUGCCACAUGUCUCCUUGUUCCUUCCUUCCCUCUCCUCCCAUUAGGGACUAUCCUUCCUGCUUAUCAAGCCCAAGGAAAAAGAGCCAAACUUAGGAGGUCUCCUGAGAUACUGAUCUGCCUUCCUAUAAUGCAAAGCAGCUUAUUAGAGUCACUGGAACAACUCAAAAGCCAUAUAAAACCAACACAGAUUUCACUCAUUCCCAGCAGCACUACAGCACCUUGCAAUUCCUGGUAAUAAAAAGAUAACUGCACUGGCGGUAUGGAGCUUGGAAGUGCUCCAGCUUGACUCAGCUGAGGAACAGAGGGAUUUCUCAGGGCUCUCAUAGCUUACACCAGACACUGCAGGCACGAGGGAUGGAGGAGAAGGAUGGAAAUCACCUACUCUGAAAACCUCAGGGAUAAAUUUAUGAACAGACUCAUACGCUGUACACAACGAAACUGAGCUCUGACACACUGGUCAGCAGGCUUCCUGUCCUCUCUUUUUGCCAGAAGCUACAAAAACUGCUAAUCUCUCCCAGUUCCAGUUCAAGGGGCUGCUGGCUCUCUUGUGCAGGCAGAGCAGGCUCAGUGCUUUCAGCUUUUGAGGUCACUAAAUCAAGCCAGUGGCCAAUACAAAUUACAACAAAAAUUUCCAAACCUGGACCGUUCUUUUUGUGAGUUGGUUUUAUUCCCAGCACAGGAAAAUCCUUCCUAAUACAGGGAAGCUCCUGGCAAAAUCAGAGUGGCUGGUAACAAUUUGCAUCCUUCCUGUCUCAGACCCGAGUCCAAAGCCCACCAGUGGUGGUGGGAAGCCCCACUGACUUCACCAGGCUUUGGCACGAAGCCUCAGCACAAAGAGCUGAUGGGGAUGAAGUUUUGGAAGCAUGGAGGUGGCUAACACAUCCCAGAACUUGACAAAGCACUUGGAGCAUUUGCAUACAAAUGCUCUUUGCUUGUUUAUUGCUUCAUCUGCUGCUUGUAAGUCUUUUUAACACACCCUCUAAUUCUGUUAUUACAAAAAAGAGUGCAUGCAAAUAACUGCCUUAAGUGAACUCAAGCAGAGAACAAUCCAUUAACCACUGUCCCUGUAUUACAAAAAGUGUUAGAAACCCUGAAUAAGGAACGGUGGUUUGAGGGGAAACCCUCAGUAUUCAGGCAACUGCUGCAAACACACAGCCCUGAGUUACAUGAGCUGGAAGGCAGAAUUAAAAAUGCAAAUGUUCAUAUUAAAACAAACUGUUAAUUAAGAGCAGGCUUCAUUAUAGAGAUUAUGCAUCUUUAGAGACUCCACCAGACAUGCACACUUCCAUCACAAACCAGGAAGAUAUAGAGAAAUACUCCCAGGCUGAGCCCGUUGGCUUCUUGUCCUUCCUGACCCUAAAAGGACCAUUACACAUCUGGGAUGUUUCGCCUGGAGAACUCGGGGUCAGCUUUCGUGGAGAGCCAUGAGAAAGGAGCAGCUGUGGCAGGGCCAGGUGACACUGUGCCCUGUCCCCUGCCUGGAGAGGACCCAGCGCCAAUUCCCAGGCCUCCAACGGGCCCUGUGGGCUAUCCAGCAAAAACAACUCGCUCCAAAAAUACCAGAAGUGACCCUGUUCAAGGAUUAUCUGCAAAAUCUCCCCCGCUCCUUGUAUUUUUAAUGAAAUUAAAGUAUUUUCAAUAGUACAAAUGUCAGGGUUUGGGCCAGACAAACAAGUUACAGAGACCGAGUGCUGAGUUUCAUGGAUGCAGAUUGGCAUAAAAUUAGGAAAAAAGUGCAGAAGUCACUUGUCAGAUUUUAACCCUGGAGAAAUAAACUCAAAAGCUGAUGUAAGGAAAAAGUAUUUCUCAAGGCAUGGCCUCAUAUAAUUUCCAUUAUUUGCCUUCUUAUUGCCACCUGUUAUUUUGAGAAUGGUUUAAAUAAAAGAAACAUAGAACCAGAUUUAUCAUACAUUAUAUUUUUGCUCUAAAUAUGGCUCUAAAAAUGGCUUUUAAAAACAUACAGUUAACUCAGUGUAGAGAAACUUGAUUUACUGAAAUAACUUGACAGCCUGAACCCUAAGAGAUUUCUCCAAAUUUCAGAGAUUGCCCUGCUGUUGAACAUUGGGUCCAACACCUCCAUACUCAAGCCCAGAAGCAGGUGGACACCUUUAAAGACACAUUAGGCUGGCCUUUACAACUUGUGUUUCAUGACAAUCAAUCCAAAAGGAAAAAAUUAAGAUUUGCCACGUUUUUCUGAGUUGUAUUAAAAUCUGUCAGUAUCAGCGACAGUUGAGCAGAAUGAAUUAGAGAGAUCAAAAUUUGAAUAACUGAAUUCAGAACAACACUUGAAAAUCUGAUGGCAACUCAAACAUUAACUUUUGAGAAGGGCAACUAGAGUCUCUUUUGGCAUGAAGAGCCCACUGGUGCAAUGUCAGAUGCACCUACUCUACACCCACAAUGCAGCAAUAAAACCGCUGUUCUUGUUUGCAGCACCCUGCAUGCCAAGAACAGAGAAUGACCAUUUUGCUCUUGAAACACAGGUACAGGACUAAGAACAGGCAUGUUCUCAUCUCUGUAUCUGAUGAAGACUUGUUUCAAAGAAGAGAAAAGAAGUCUUUCUUCUGAAUGCAUAUGAUCAUCAUUGAACACGCUGCCAAAACUGAAGGCUGAAUACAAAUUCUUACUUAGAAGAACAUUAGAAAUUUGUAAAGGCACAGGGAAAUAAGUCAUUUCAUUCAGCCAGUUCCCUCCCCUCUCACCUCCAAAUAGAAAAAAAGUAGAUUUGUGCUGGCUUUUUUUUGAGAUUAGCUAACAGUAAUUUUUCCUUGUAUGUAAGAGAUUUUUACUAUUAUGGCUAUUGAAGAUUUGGAUUCCACAGCAAACCCCCAAGAAUGAGUAAUGGUCUCAUUUUCCAUCUGUAAUACUGAGCAAGAGCCAAGGGCAACCCACUGACACUGGAGGAUUUGGACCAUGAGUUUUGGUUUUGCCUCCUGCUCUUGUCAAAGGCCACUGCUGAAAGCCUCCUAACAGGACUUUAUAAAAGUGGCUUUUCAAGGUUCAAUAGAAAUUCAAAUGAACUUAUUUCCUUUGUCAUGGAUUUCUGAGUCAUCUUUUCCAAGGGAGGGGAGAGGAAAUAUAAUCAGAAAAGGGAAUUAUUCCUAUUUUACAAGAGGGAGCAGAUCUACCGUAGUCAUCCUUUAUCUUGUCAUCUUCCUGACCACAGUAUUGUGAAAAGCCCACAAGCAGAAAUGGCAACAAACAUCAAUGAAAUACUGUGCUCUUUAUAUCAUUAAGUCCUGCCAUGAGGAGGAAGGGAACCCAUGGCAUCUUUCAACCCUGCCUUUGUUACUUACACCACGCCUUCUGCAAGGCACAGUACACAAAAUGUUAUGCAAAACCAAGCCAUUACUGGUAGCUUAGCAAGAAGCAUUCAUUACAGUUCAGAAAACUUUCAUUUCAGUACAUCCUUGUUGACUGAGCUGACAAAAUCUGAAAAAAUCUGUCACAAGGCCAGAGCUGUCCUGAGGUGGGGGCAUCCAUCAGUCCUGCUCCCCUUUCCUACCAACUUCUUCACUGGAGUACACCAUAAUUGCCAAGAACAGAAAGCUGGAAGCAUGGGGAGAUGGGCAGAACUGGGGGAAGGUUGUACCUAGCCCUGGGUCCUACCAACAAGCCAAAAUGUGGUUACACCAAAGGGUGAAGCCACAACCUCCAAAACAUGCUGGUGCCCCUCUGCAACAGGUGGUGAAGCUGCUCUGUGCUGAAAUAGGGGUUAUGGUCACAGCUUUUGAACUCUUCCUUUUAAGAAACAUUUUAUGGGAAACUGUGUUUAUGGGAGCUGGCUAUCAUUACACCAGAUCUCGGAAAAGCACAGUGCUUUCUAGUGAAAGCUUAAGCAAACAACCAAACCCCCAAAGCCCCCCUUUUUCCAGUAACUGAAAGGAAGACCCAUUUAAAUUUCUAGUCUGCACAUUUCCUUCAUUUUCCAUCUAAAACAAAGAGCAUUAAGACACAAGGGUGUCAAGUGGUAUGAAUCAUCUUUAAAGCAUUCAGUUUAAUUAGACAAGGAUAAGGAGGUUUAAACAAAGUCACUGAAAUCUAAUUCUCUGUAUGAACUCCUAUCAUACAGCAGACGAUUGAAAUCAGUAAAAGUGAAAAAGUAAGGGUUUAGCUGAGCUUAUUUGUUACAGCCACUCUUGAAUAAAGUGGUUUUUAUGGCCGUGAACCUCCGUGGGAGCAGAAGUCAAGGUCUCAGUGACAAUCCAUCAUGUUGGGGAAGAACCCUACUGUAACCUCACAUCUGUGCGUGGCAGGAAUAAGAGGCAGCUGUGAGUAGCUACUCUGAGAAUAAAUCCUACUCAAAACCCAUGACAUAUCCAUGCUGGGGUAUGUUCUGGUAAGGCAGAUGAGUCAAGGGAACUUCACGAAGUGUCAGCUCAUCUCCUGCCUUGGGAACAGAUGCCACCACCCCAACAGGGACAGCCAGCUGUGGAGCCAGAUUUCAUUUACACACUACAAUAAAAGCCCAAAGUUUCUUAAUAGUACACAAAACAGGCAGUCAAGGUUUCAAUUCCAAGUAGAUUUUUUUUUUUGGAUGCAGAAUAGUUGACUUUGCUGAUUCUGUAAUAGUUUUGGGAAAAGGAGAAGAGAGAGGACAUGGAUGGAAACUCUUAAGAGACAUGAGGCUUGAAGCUCUGCAUUUUCCUCUGCAUGACAGAAAAAGACAGCACCUAACUGCUACCUCAAUUCAGUAUCAGUCCAGAUUUGUUUCAACAAGAGAGUUUCCUCCAGCACCAUCUCUAAGCAUGACUCUGAUGCAAGGAAGAAUUUAAUGCAAUUAGAGCAACCACUGAGGUUUCUGCCAACAGGGGCACUGCUGCUUGGAGCACUUUAUGGUCUCUUGACCCUGAAGAUAAGGGGGGAACAAGAACCCAAACAAACACCCCAAAUCAAAGUCCACACAUUUUUUGUGUUCCUCUCUGGGCAACCAAGUGGCACUGCUUGUUACUUCACAACCAAGAGAAUCCUCCAGAGAAGAGUCUAGAGUGCCUUAUCAGAAUCAAAAAAGCCUCAGGGAAGACCUGGUGGGUCUGUUCCAGUAAAGAGUGUGGCAUAAGAGGUGACAGCAGCAAAACCAGAGCGGGGAGCAAAGGAAUCUCCAAGUCUGAUUUUAAAGAGGAAGUCUGAAUAGGAAUCAUUUACUACCCCCACGAUUAUACAAGAAAAUGAUAUCAUCAGCAAGAUGAAAGACUGUACAGAGAGACAGCAACAUUCAUUACUUCUCAGCUGAAAUCAGGACUCAACCUGGAAACAAAAGCUUCAGCUCCUCUGCGGUUGGGUAAUUAAACACAGAAGGGGCUGGAGAGAAAAGGCUUUUCAUUCACUGUCAUACAGACCUUAAAGGUGCAUUCAAACUUCUUUCUUGAAGCUGAACUUUCAUCCAGCUACCAGGAUAAAGUAUUUGGCUCAAGUAGGUGGAAGUCUGAACUUCCAUCACCCACUGAAGAAACAGGACUUGUCCACAUGGAGGCCAACACUCCUGUAAUACUUUGGGCUGUUAAGUGUUAGGGUCAUUCCUGUUUUUUGGAGGUUUAGAGCAACAUUUUUGUCUGUCCAGCAGCCUUACCCACAGCAGAAAGGCCUGGGGAGGUGAAUUGUGGCACUUUUACCAGAGGAAAGAGCUAUUCCAACUCACUGGUGAGGUAGAGUUGUGACUGAGCCACAGGCAAAGCCUCUUUGUAGUGCAACACACAAAGUAUUACACAGUCCAGAUGUAGCUCUUAACAAUGACAACCAAAUUCUCACUGGAGGGAUAGUUUUGCAUGGCAUAAUUCACUACAAGUGAAAACUAUGCGAGCCAAGAGAAAGAUAUAAUCUAAUUAUUUCUGGUUUCUCAGGGCUGAAGGUGAGAGGGAAAUUUAAAAGCAAACAAAGCUGCAUUGCUCAACAUGGAAUGCUGCAAUAUAAAGAAGUGAAAAUUAAGGCCCUGCACAAAACAUGUCAAUUUUCGAUAGAUAUGGCACUAACAUAUAUUAAUAUUUCUGACAAGCCAAGAAUGUCAGAUUUCUAAGCACAAUAUGAAUCACAUUAGAAUUAAGAACAGCUGAGCCUGCACAACAGAUUAUACAAGUAUUUAUGAAGCACAGGAAAUACUCAAAGCCAGCAAGUUCAGCUGUAUACCAAUAUAACUAAUAGCUCAAUGUAUCUGGUAAAAAGCCACUUUAUUGACAAGAUAACUAUAUAUUAACAAAAUACUGGAUAAAAUAUUGAACAUCUGGGUAAAACACAGGGGGCAUUAAAAAUGCCCUUUAAAAGAAGGAGUCUGUUCUCAUUCAAAGUUCUUCUCUAACCAAGAAUGAAGGAAGAUCAAUGAAUCAUGAAAGCAAUUCAAGUUGAGCAAAGAAGAACUUUGGUAAAUUUCAAAAAAUUCUGGCAAAAUGGCUUGAGGAAAAAAACAAUCAGUGUACCCAAGCUCGGGAAGAAGAAAACACAAACCACAAGAUUCAAUUUGCAGCACAGAAGAUCUGAAGCUAUUUAUCAGAUAAGACUGAAACUGCCCUACCUGGACACCUUUCAAAGAACUCUUAUUUGGAAUCAUUAAAGUGUUUUUUACUAUUGGCUGAAAACAACUGAUGAGGUUCCUAAAACAGCCCCUUAAUUUAAUUUACUUGGACACGAACAAAUUAAAAGCAGAGUUACAGGAUAUAGUACUAACAAUGCAGAUAUGUCACUGUAACAUUUUUUGUGCUCUUAAUCAGUUUGAUUCAUUAAAAUAGUAACUGGUUGUGAUGUGAACGAACUUUGCUAAGUGUUAGAGUCUUAAAAAAACAUAAGAUAAAUCAGUGAUCUGGAAUGAAACACUGGAAUUGAAGUCAAUGAAAACGCAGGGUAAGAUAUUUUGGUUUUAUGAAAAAAAUAUUGAGUCUUUAGCCAAGACAGCAAAGUCCCGAGCAGUAUUACAAAAACUGACACCACAUUAGAAUUUCUCACUUAGACACCUUUCAAUCCACCUGCUAGGAUGGUCUCCUCUGGAGCAAGGAAUAUCUCAUUCCCCCUCCUCCUCAAGUGAGGUGUGGAACACAAGUUGUGAAGAAGGAGACAAAAUCAGCACUGAUACCAAAGACAAGAGCUGGAAGGAGGAGGGUGCCCACAGAGUCACAGACUGGUUUGGGUUGGCAGGGACCUCAGAGUUCAUCUCAUUCCAGCCCCUGCCAUGGGCAGGAACACCUUCCACUACCCCAGGCUGCUCCAAAGCCAUCCAGCCUGGCCUUGAGCACCUCUACGGGUGUGGCACCCAAACACAAACACACAGGAGCUCAAGGCAAGGUGCUCAGGGAACCAGAAGAGGUUUGGCUUAAUUUUCUCAGGUGGAUUAC